Molecule: ribosomal RNA, 253 nt
Filed under: uncultured bacterium
Lineage: Bacteria
Description: partial 16S ribosomal RNA
Rfam family: Bacterial small subunit ribosomal RNA
Source: RNAcentral
UACGUAGGCAGCGAGCGUUGUUCGGAAUUACUGGGCGUAAAGAGUGUGUAGGCGGUGCUCUAAGUUCGGUGUGAAAUCUCCUGGCUCAACUGGGAGGGUGCGCCGGAAACUGGAGUGCUUGAGCGUGGGAGAGGAAAGCGGAAUUCCUGGUGUAGCGGUGAAAUGCGUAGAUAUCAGGAGGAACACCUGUGGUGGAGACGGCUUUCUGGACCAUAGCUGACGCUGAGACACGAAAGCGUGGGUAGCAAACAGG